UUGACCUCAAAUCGGGUGAGACUACCCGCUGAACUUAAGCAUAUCAAUAAGCGGAGGAAAAGAAACUAACAAGGAUUCCCCUAGUAACUGCGAGUGAAGCGGGAAAAGCUCAAAUUUAAAAUCUGGCGGUCUUUGGCUGUCCGAGUUGUAAUUUAGAGAAGCGUCUUCCGCGCCGGA
Molecule: ribosomal RNA, 177 nt
Filed under: Lactarius kauffmanii
Lineage: Eukaryota; Fungi; Basidiomycota; Agaricomycetes; Russulales; Russulaceae
Description: partial 26S ribosomal RNA
Rfam family: Eukaryotic large subunit ribosomal RNA
Source: RNAcentral